CCUACGGGGGGCAGCAGUGGGGAAUAUUGGACAAUGGGGGCAACCCUGAUCCAGCCAUGCCGCGUGUGUGAAGAAGGCCCUCGGGUUGUAAAGCACUUUCAGUGAGGAAGAACGCCUGGUGGUUAAUACCCAUCAGGAAAGACAUCACUCACAGAAGAAGCACCGGCUAACUCCGUGCCAGCAGCCGCGGUAAUACGGAGGGUGCGAGCGUUAAUCGGAAUUACUGGGCGUAAAGCGCGCGUAGGUGGCUUGAUAAGCCGGUUGUGAAAGCCCCGGGCUCAACCUGGGAACGGCAUCCGGACCUGUCAAGCUAGAGUGCAGGAGAGGAAGGUAGAAUUCCCGGUGUAGCGGUGAAAUGCGUAGAGAUCGGGAGGAAUACCAGUGGCGAAGGCGGCCUUCUGGACUGACACUGACACUGAGGUGCGAAAGCGUGGGUAGCAAACAGGAUUAGAUACCCUAGUAGUC
This 465-nucleotide ribosomal RNA is filed under the name Vreelandella stevensii. RNAcentral's name for it is "partial 16S ribosomal RNA". It matches the Rfam family "Bacterial small subunit ribosomal RNA", at positions 338 to 795 of the family's 1533-position model. The record is from RNAcentral. Lineage: Bacteria; Pseudomonadati; Pseudomonadota; Gammaproteobacteria; Oceanospirillales; Halomonadaceae.